This 301-nucleotide ribosomal RNA is filed under the name uncultured bacterium. RNAcentral's name for it is "partial 16S ribosomal RNA". It matches the Rfam family "Bacterial small subunit ribosomal RNA", at positions 509 to 807 of the family's 1533-position model. The record is from RNAcentral.
CAGUAGCCGCGGGUAAUACGAAGGGGGCGAGCGUUGCUCGGAAUGACUGGGCGUAAAGGGCGCGUAGGUGGUACGGACAGUCAGAUGUGAAAUUCCCGGGCUCAACCUGGGGGCUGCAUUUGAUACGUCCGAACUAGAGUGUAGAAGAGGGUCGUGGAAUUCCCAGUGUAGAGGUGAAAUUCGUAGAUAUUGGGAAGAACACCGGUGGCGAAGGCGGCGACCUGGUCCAUUACUGACGCUGAGGCGCGAAAGCGUGGGGAGCAAACAGGAUUAGAUACCCGAGUAGUCCUGUCUCUUAUAC